RNAcentral lists this transfer RNA (72 nucleotides) under Sus scrofa (pig). It matches the Rfam family "tRNA". Rfam says of the family: Transfer RNA (tRNA) molecules are approximately 80 nucleotides in length. Their secondary structure includes four short double-helical elements and three loops (D, anti-codon, and T loops). The record is from Rfam by way of RNAcentral. Lineage: Eukaryota; Metazoa; Chordata; Mammalia; Artiodactyla; Suidae.
UCCCUGGAGGUCUGGUGGUUAGGACUUGGCGCUUUCACUGCUUCGGCCCAAGUUCAAUCCCUGGUCUGGGAA